RNAcentral lists this ribosomal RNA (1887 nucleotides) under human gut metagenome. RNAcentral's name for it is "bacterial LSU rRNA". It matches the Rfam family "Bacterial large subunit ribosomal RNA", at positions 3 to 1980 of the family's 2925-position model. The record is from RNAcentral.
UUAAGCUAAGAAGAGCGUAGGGAGAAUGCCUUGGCAUUAGGAGCCGAUGAAGGACGUGAUAAGCUGCGAUAAGCUGCGGGGAUCAGCAAGUAUGAAUUGAUCCGCAGAUUUCCGAAUGGAGCAAUCCGUAUGUGUAUGCACAUACAUCAUAUACUGAAUCAAAUAGGUAUAUGAGGGGAACCGCCUGAACUGAAACAUCUAAGUAGGGCGAGGAAGAGAAAUCAACCGAGAUUCUGUGAGUAGUGGCGAGCGAAAGCGGAAGAGGCUAAACCAUAGGUAGCAAUACUUAUGGGGUUUCGGACAGCAUUUAGUAUUGAUAAUUUCUAGUUGAAACGUGUGGGAAAACGUACCGAAGAGUGUGAGAGUCACGUAAGCGAAAGAGAAAGUCAGCGAGCUGUAUCCAAAGUACCGCGGGACACGUGAAACCCCGUGGGAAGAUGGGGGGACCAUCCUCCAAGCCUAAAUACUACCUAAUGACCGAUAGCGAAUAGUACUGUGAAGGAACGGUGAAAAGAACCCCGGGAGGGGAGUGAAAAAGAACCUGAAACCCUAUGCUUACAAGCACCGAGAGCACGUCAAAGUGUGAUCGGGUACCUUUUGUAGAAUGGUCCGGCGAGUUAUUGUAUGCGGCAAGGUUAAGUGCUUAAGGCACGGAGCCGAAGCGAGAGCAAGUCUGAACAGGGCGAAAAAGUCGUAUGCAAUAGACCCGAAACCGAGUGACCUAUCCAUGUCCAGGCUGAAGUGGAGGUAAAACUCCAUGGAGGGCCGAACACACGUCCGUUGAAAAGGCCGGUGAUGAGGUGUGGAUAGCGGAGAAAUUCCAAUCGAACUCGGAUAUAGCUGGUUCUCUCCGAAAUAGCUUUAGGGCUAGCCUCGUGAAAGAUUACUGGAGGUAAAGCACUGAAUGGGCUAGGGGUCGAAAGAUUACUGAACCCUAUCAAACUAAGAAUGCCAGAUAAUUGAUUCACGGGAGUCAGACAAUGUGAGAUAAGUCUCAUUGUCAAAAGGGAAACAGCCCAGACCCACAGCUAAGGUCCCUAAACAUUGUUAAGUGGAAAAGGAUGUGGGGUUGCAUAAACAACCAGGAUGUUGGCUUAGAAGCAGCCACUCAUUAAAAGAGUGCGUAAUAGCUCACUGGUCGAGUGACCCUGCGCCGAAAAUUCAACGGGGCUAAACAAUGUACCGAAGCUUGGGAUUCUAAAGUAAUUUAGAGUGGUAGGAGAGCGUCGAAUAAGGGGUGAAGUCAGAGCGGAAGCGCUGGUGGACUUUAUUCGAGUGAGAAUGCCGGAAUGAGUAGCGAGAAUUAUGUGAGAAUCAUAAUGGCCGAAAAUCUAAGGUUUCCUGAGGAAGGUUCGUCCGCUCAGGGUAAGCCGGGGGCUAAGGCGAGGCGGAGACGCGUAGCCGAUGCACAUACGGUUGAAAUUCCGUAGCCACCGAAAGAUUUAAGUACAGGGACGCUUUAGAAGUGAUGUAGCCGGGCGAUGGUUGACCCGGUCGUAAGGGAUCGAAAAUGAGUAGAGAAGUCAUCAUGGAAAGAGACAAGAAAAGCUGUAUGAAUAUCUUAGGUGCCCGUACCGCAAACCGACACAGGUAGAUAGGAAGAAGAUUCUAAGGCCAACGGGAGAAGGGUUGUUAAGGAACUCGGCAAGUUGACCCCGUAACUUAGGGAUAAGGGGUGCUCAAGUGAUUGAGCCGCAGAGAAUAGGCCCAGGCGACUGUUUAGCAAAAACACAGGUCUCUGCUAAAUCGAAAGAUGACGUAUAGGGGCUGACACCUGCCCGGUGCCGGAAGGUUAAGAGGAGAUGUGAGAGCAUUGAAUUGAAGCCCCGGUAAACGGCGGCCGUAACUAUAACGGUCCUAAGGUAGCGAAAUUCCUUGUCAGGUAAG